This 253-nucleotide ribosomal RNA is filed under the name uncultured bacterium. Its description in RNAcentral is "partial 16S ribosomal RNA". It matches the Rfam family "Bacterial small subunit ribosomal RNA", at positions 524 to 776 of the family's 1533-position model. The record is from RNAcentral.
UACAGAGGGGGCAAGCGUUGUUCGGAAUUACUGGGCGUAAAGGGCGCGUAGGCGGCCUGUUAAGUCGAACGUGAAAUCCCCGGGCUCAACCCGGGAACUGCGUCCGAUACUGGCAGGCUCGAAUCCGGGAGAGGGAUGCGGAAUUCCAGGUGUAGCGGUGAAAUGCGUAGAUAUCUGGAGGAACACCGAUGGCGAAGGCAAUCCCCUGGGCCUGCACUGACGCUCAUGCACGAAAGCGUGGGGAGCAAACAGG